UACGUAGGGUGCAAGCGUUGUCCGGAAUUAUUGGGCGUAAAGAGCUCGUAGGCGGUUUGUCGCGUCUGCUGUGAAAAAUCCAAGGCUCAACCUUGGACCUGCAGUGGGUACGGGCAGACUAGAGUGCGGUAGGGGAGAUGGGAGUUCCUGGUGUAGCGGUGGAAUGCGCAGAUAUCAGGAGGAACACCGGUGGCGAAGGCGGGUCUCUGGGCAGUAACUGACGCUGGAGGAGCGAAAGCGUGGGGAGCGAACAGG
RNAcentral lists this ribosomal RNA (255 nucleotides) under uncultured bacterium. RNAcentral's name for it is "partial 16S ribosomal RNA". It matches the Rfam family "Bacterial small subunit ribosomal RNA", at positions 524 to 776 of the family's 1533-position model. The record is from RNAcentral.